GAUCAGGUGACCAUCUGCCUCUUACCACAUCUUCCCCACAUAUUGGAUCAGGAGUUUAAUGCUUGUACUCCUUUUUGGUAGGAUUUCAAGUUUGGCUCUUCUGCUACAUUU
This 111-nucleotide small nucleolar RNA is filed under the name Cephalotus follicularis. The record is from RNAcentral. Lineage: Eukaryota; Viridiplantae; Streptophyta; Magnoliopsida; Oxalidales; Cephalotaceae.